CGGGUGAGUAACGCGUAUGCAACUUUCCUCUAACAGAGAGAUAGCCCGAAGAAAUUCGGAUUAAUAUCUCAUAACAUCAUGAAAUCGCAUGGUUUUAUGAUUAAAGCUCCGGCGGUUAGAGAUGGGCAUGCGUGACAUUAGUUAGUUGGUGAGGUAACGGCUCACCAAGGCAACGAUGUCUAGGGGUUCUGAGAGGAUGAUCCCCCACACUGGUACUGAGACACGGACCAGACUCCUACGGGAGGCAGCAGUGAGGAAUAUUGGGCAAUGGACGCAAGUCUGACCCAGCCAUGCCGCGUGCAGGAUGACGGCCCUACGGGUUGUAAACUGCUUUUGUACGAGAAGAAUUCUCUUGACGUGUCAGGGGUUGACGGUAUCGUACGAAUAAGCAUCGGCUAACUCCGUGCCAGCAGCCGCGGUAAUACGGAGGAUGCAAGCGUUAUCCGGAUUUAUUGGGUUUAAAGGGUGCGUAGGCGGGAUAUUAAGUCAGUGGUGAAAUCCUGCAGCUUAACUGUAGAACUGCCAUUGAUACUGAUAUUCUUGAGUAUAGUUGAAGUGGGCGGAAUGUGUAAUGUAGCGGUGAAAUGCUUAGAUAUUACACAGAACACCGAUUGCGUAGGCAGCUCGCUAAACUAAUACUGACGCUGAGGCACGAAAGCGUGGGGAGCGAACAGGAUUAGAUACCCUGGUAGUCCACGCUGUAAACUAUGAUCACUCGUUGUUGGCAAUACACAGUCAGCGACUGAGCGAAAGCAUUAAGUGAUCCACCUGGGGAGUACGGCUGCAAGGUUGAAACUCAAAGGAAUUGACGGGGGCCCGCACAAGCGGAGGAACAUGUGGUUUAAUUUGAUGAUACGCGAGGAACCUUACCUGGGGUUAAAUGCAGAACGACGUCCGCCGAAAGGCAGAUUCCCUUCGGGGCGGAGUGCAUGGUGCUGCAUGGUUGUCGUCAGCUCGUACCGUGAGGUGUCGGGUUAAGUCCCAUAACGAGCGCAACCUCUUAUUGUUAGUUGCCAGCGGGUAAUGCCGGGGACUCUAACGAAACUGCCGGUGUAAACCGAGAGGAAGGUGGGGAUGACGUCAAAUCAGCACGGCCCUUACGUCCAGGGCUACACACGUGUUACAAUGGCCGGUUCAAAGGGCAGCUACCUGGUAACAGGAUGCUAAUCUCGAAAU
RNAcentral lists this ribosomal RNA (1176 nucleotides) under uncultured organism. Its description in RNAcentral is "bacterial SSU rRNA". It matches the Rfam family "Bacterial small subunit ribosomal RNA", at positions 103 to 1280 of the family's 1533-position model. The record is from RNAcentral.